AGCUCCAAUAGCAUAUAUUAAAGUUGUUGCAGUUAAAAAGCUCGUAGUUGAAUUUGUGGUUUCUCCUGGAGUCCAUUGUGGAUACUCUAGGAGUUACCAUCAUUGGGUGAUACCAGUCUGGCAUUAGGUUGUUCGGGCAGGCUACUCCCAUCUUUUACUGUGAAAAAAUUAGAGUGUUCCAAACAGGCUUAUGCUGUUGAAUAUGUUAGCAUGGAAUAAUGAGGUAGGGCUUUGGUACUAUUUUGUUGGUUUGUGCACCAAAGUAAUGAUCAAUAGGGACAGUUGUGGGUAUUUGUAUUCCAUUGUCAGAGGUGAAAUUCUUGGAUUUUUGGAAGACAAACAACUGCGAAAGCAUUUACCAAGGAUGUUUUCA
This 373-nucleotide ribosomal RNA is filed under the name uncultured eukaryote. RNAcentral describes it as "SSU rRNA". It matches the Rfam family "Eukaryotic small subunit ribosomal RNA", at positions 587 to 972 of the family's 1831-position model. The record is from RNAcentral.